AACUAACAAGGAUUCCCCUAGUAACUGCGAGUGAAAAGGGAAAAGCCCAGCGCCGAAGCCGCCGCCCAGCAAAAGGGGCGGAGGGCAAUGUGGCGUUAAGGAAGAGCCUCUUUGACCAGACGUUUCGUUGAUCGGACCGCGGAAGCCCGAGUCCCCCUGACCGGGGCCAUCGCCCAAGGCGGGUGCAAGGCCUCUUCGGCUUCGUUCGACGGUUCGGAGGUUGCUGGCUCCUUUCCUCAGAGUCGGGUUGCUUGAAAGUGCAGCUCUAAGUGGGUGGUAAACUCCAUCUAAGGCUAAAUAUUACCAUGAGACCGAUAGCGAACAAGUACCGUGAGGGAAAGUUGCAAAGAACUUUGAAGAGAGAGUUCAAGAGUACGUGAAACCGCUCGGAGGCAAACGGGUGGGACCUCGAAGGUCGAACGGGGGGAUUCAGCCUGUCGGCUUCCAGCCUCCAUCCGCUCAGUCGAAAAGGGCGCUCCGGCGCCCGAAACGGAUCCUCUCGGGGACCGGGCUGCGGAUGCGGGGCGGCCGGCUCGUGCACUUCCCCCUCAGUAGGACGCCGCGACCGGUCGGGUCAAUACAAAGUUUGCGGCCAUGAGGCGAGAGGAUCGGGGAAGGUGUCCGUUUCCGUCAGGUCCCUCGUCCCUUCGCGGGGCGGCCCCUUCGCGGGGGUUCGUCUCGUGACGGGGGCGGGGAGGCCGCGGUCGGAGUUACAGCCCCAUCUCGGCCCGUGCACCGCCACCCGACCGACAAAUGGUCACGAAUCCGUUGACGCGUGCCCGCGUAAUUUCGGUAACAAAACGAAAAUGCGCUCGCCCUAGUCCUGAGCAGGCCGGAUGCGCGAGUACAAAGUUCCCGUCCACCCGGAAACGGGGAGGGAAUCCGCCGGGCGCCGGUACAAAAAACCGCAAAGGCGACCGGCGGCUCCGCGUCUGCCGCUGGCUCACGAGGAAUCUAGCAUUCUGGCGUGAGGCAAUGAAAAUGAAACGCUCGCGGUCGGCGGCGAGUAG
Molecule: ribosomal RNA, 1010 nt
Filed under: Stenotaenia sp. BM-1478
Lineage: Eukaryota; Metazoa; Arthropoda; Chilopoda; Geophilomorpha; Geophilidae
Description: partial 28S ribosomal RNA
Rfam family: Eukaryotic large subunit ribosomal RNA (bases 1-873)
Source: RNAcentral